Molecule: ribosomal RNA, 497 nt
Filed under: uncultured bacterium
Lineage: Bacteria
Description: bacterial SSU rRNA
Rfam family: Bacterial small subunit ribosomal RNA
Source: RNAcentral
AUGAACGCUAGCGACAGGCCUAACACAUGCAAGUCGAGGGGCAGCACAAGGAGCAAUCUGAGGUGGCGACCGGCGCACGGGUGAGUAACACGUAUGCAACCUGCCUGUAAGCGGGGAAUAACCCGUUGAAAGACGGACUAAUACCGCAUAAUACUAAAGUUACUGCAUGGUAAUUUAUUUAAACAUUUAUGGCUUACAGAUGGGCAUGCGCAUGAUUAGCUAGUUGGAGAGGUAACGGCUCCCCAAGGCAACGAUCAUUAGGGGUUCUGAGAGGAAGGUCCCCCCACACUGGUACUGAGACACGGACCAGACUCCUACGGGAGGCAGCAGUGAGGAAUAUUGGUCAAUGGACGAGAGUCUGAACCAGCCAAGUCGCGUGCAGGAAGAAUGUCCCUAUGGAUUGUAAACUGCUUUUGCAGGGGAAUAAGGUGCAUCACGUGUGAUGUUUUGUAUGUACUCUGCGAAUAAGGAUCGGCUAACUCCGUGCCAGCCGCGGC